GCGAGGUACUUGUUCUUCGCAAGGUGGUCCUCGUAGAUGUCGAGCACCUUGGCGAGCUGGUGCGCGUGCUUGUCCACCACCAGCGGGUCGGGGGCGCCGCCCAUCAUGGGCUUGACGAGGAGGUGGUACACCAGCGGGGAGGCGUUGGGGUAGAAGUGGUGCGACUCCACCUCCAGCCACACCUCCAGCUUCGCCGACGGGAUGGUCGGGAGGAGGUCGGCGCCGUCCGACUUGUACUUGGUCGCGAUGUACCGGUUGAUCGCACGGGACUCUGCAUGCGAUGUGUUCUCAGAACUUCAGAUUCGGAAAUUUGGUGACUCAUCAUAAGGCUGACACGCGCGAGCAUCAACGCCAACAGAGGUUGGAACAGAUGGACAGCAGCAGUAGAAUUCAGUCUCGUUUUGAUCAAAUCAAUUCUACGAGUGGAAACGUGAUAGGUUGUUUGAGCUGUUAUGCAGCUUAGCACCUACUCCACGGGAGGAAAACGACAUUGAUGUGUACAGCCUGGAGAUAUUUUUGCUUUCUGAUGAAUGAAAUCCAAGCGGGUCAACCAUCUUUUUUUUUUAAAAAAAAAGGAACGACCAAGGUAUAACGAAGAUACUGUUCCUAGAUCUGGGGAUGGAUCUAGUGCUUCAUUUUUUAAAAUGACCGAGUAGUUCCUAAUAUAAUCAACUACUAUACGCACGGGAAGAACGAGCAGUGAUGUCAGUUACGUACCGUAGAGGACUUCAUCCCCGUCCUCCAGCGCAGGGAUCUGGCCGAAAGGCUGCGAACAGGGAGGGAAGCCAUAGAUCAGGGGACAGCAAAAUCACAGGCAUGCCGUGCCGCCUGCAGCGUAAGAAAUUGAAAUCGAAGGAGGACAGGCGCGUACGUUGAGGGCGAGGAACUCGGGCUGCUUGUGGGCGCCGGUGGUGAGGUCGACGGGGACGACCUCGAAUUCGAGGCCCUUCUCGUUGAGCACGGUGGCCACGCGCACCACGUUGGGGGACAGCGGCAACCCGUACAGCUUCAGCGGUGCCAUCUCCCGAACCUUUCCUCCUCCUCCGAUCCGCUCCUCUCUCUCGUCGUUGGGCAAG
This 1076-nucleotide long non-coding RNA is filed under the name Setaria italica (foxtail millet). Its description in RNAcentral is "long non-coding RNA (SITA_LNC004161)". The record is from RNAcentral. Lineage: Eukaryota; Viridiplantae; Streptophyta; Magnoliopsida; Poales; Poaceae.